This is a long non-coding RNA of Myodes glareolus (Bank vole), 544 nucleotides long. RefSeq lists it as uncharacterized. The record is from RefSeq and is a predicted model, not a curated record. NCBI's taxonomy places the organism in Eukaryota, Metazoa, Chordata, Mammalia, Rodentia, Cricetidae.
ACUAAGCAGGACUCAGAGGGGUUCGCAGAGCCUGAAGUGACAAUCAGAGAACCUGCAUGGGUCUGCGCUGGGUCCUUUGCAUAUCCGUUAUGGUUGUGUAUGUAGCUUGCUGUUUUUGCGGGACUCCUAACAGUGGGAGUGCGGUGUCUCUGCUCUUGGCUUCGUUUUCUUCCUACUGGGUUAUCUGGUCCAGCUUUAAAAUGAAGGUACCUUAUAAAUUUGUCAAUUGGACAAUAACAGCAUGCUUUGUGGCAGAGAUGCAUCACAACGAGCAACAUCUGAUUUAGUACAGUGGAUCAGUGCUAGAAGAAUCUAUUCAUAAUCAAUGUGAGAAGAAUCUGCAUGAAUCCUCAACAAAGGAUCAUUCUUCCUUGCCAAUUUGGGCAUGCAGAACUUCGAUUUAUUUUGCUACACUGGUUCUUGGAAGACCUGUGAUUUGACGUUGUGUCCAUGAUGAAGAAGAAGAAAAAAAUUGUAGAACUAAGAGGUCAUUGUUCUGAAUUCUAAAUAUAAGCUUUAAGAAAUAAAGAAUAAGCAAAAAUAA